Molecule: long non-coding RNA, 1102 nt
Filed under: Nicotiana tabacum (common tobacco)
Lineage: Eukaryota; Viridiplantae; Streptophyta; Magnoliopsida; Solanales; Solanaceae
Description: long non-coding RNA (NTAB_LNC010643)
Source: RNAcentral
AAACCGUACCCAUAGCCACGAUAAUUUAUUAUUAAUCGCGACCAAAGCAAGCUACGAUGUUCAAAAUUAUUUCCUACUUUGAGAUUAUUGAGGCAAGAUUAUGUAUAACAAGUUUAUGUGGAAAGAAUGUAGUAAAUUGGUCAUAAAAAUGUUAGCUCUUGAUUCUUCUCAGGUAGGAUUAAACUUUCCGGACCCAAUCCUUAGCUCAAAAUCGUUUCAUGACUCAUUUACAAUUGAACCCAACUGAAUCACAUAGAUUAUUCUCCAAACCUAAAACUUAUAUUUUAACAAGCUAAUUUCUGAUAAAAUGACAUAAUACAUUAUACUCCAACAUCCUGCGUUCAAGCAAACAAACAAAAAAUGGUAGAGUUAAACAUCAUAAUAAUUACCCUCAUUCAAGUGCACAAAGAGCUGGACUCUUUCAAAAAUAGAUAUGCUCAAAUAGUAGUUGAAUUCGAAAGCAUACUACUCUUAAAAUAGACUAUUAUUUAAACAUGGUAUAAGCUCCAAUCAUGAAAUAAUUGUGUGAGCAGAUAUCAGUGAACAUUCGACCCCUUUUUUUAAAAUACAUAAUCAAUAUCACAAAACAACAAGCAAUCCAAACAAUUAAAUCAAACAGAACAUGCCGAUUCUAAGUGAACAACUACAAAUACGGAACACAAUACCCAAUUUCUCAGAUUAUAUUUGAAAAGUAAUUUUCAGCUGGAUGUGUACAUACCUAAAAGCAGAACAAUAACAAGGACUUUUCAGCUAGAUGUGUAUAUACCUAAGAGCAGACCAAUAACAGGCCACGACCGAACCCGACACAGCAACACAUACCAGAAAACCUCAGCUCUGUUUCUUGCCUCCUUGUGAAUUUAUACGUUAGCUUUCAGCAGAGAAAAAAGUCGUUGGGAUUUUUCCAUGGGGUGUCCUAGGUUAGAGAUUAGACGGCAAAAGGCAGAAGCUUUUCCAAAGAGUUUGGGUGAAGCUCUUUUCGUUCUUUUUGGGUCUGUUUCUGUGUAUGGCUGCUGGUGAACUUUUAUUCUUUUUGUUCUUUCAAGGUUUUAAAUCUUGUAUCGUGUAGAAGAAAGGUUCAGGUCCUCAAAACAGCGGAUCGUGU